Molecule: ribosomal RNA, 327 nt
Filed under: Triticum aestivum (bread wheat)
Lineage: Eukaryota; Viridiplantae; Streptophyta; Magnoliopsida; Poales; Poaceae
Description: partial small subunit ribosomal RNA
Source: RNAcentral
AUGGCAGAUGUGCAAGAGGAAAAUCCUGAGCUGGGAGAACUGUGGUUUGUGAGGUGCUAUGUGAAUGGUCUAAGAGAGGGCAUUAAAUUUCAACUUAGGCCUUUCAGACCUAAAACCCUAACAGAUGCUUACUGUAUGGCAAAGGACAUAGAGCCUAAUCAUCCACACAUAGCAACUACCAGUAAGAAACAAGUCACUCCUUUCAACAAUUUCUAUCAGAAAUCCACUUGGAUUCCUCCAGCAAAACAGAGUAUCACUGUAGCUCAACCACAACAACAGCAGCAACUUCCUACUAGACUAGCUGAAAUGCCUGUAAACACUGGUUAG